GAAGCCGGACAUUUAAUCAACUGAGCCACUCAGGCAUCCUGGUCAGUAAACUUUGGCAUCUGAGCAAGGUCCACAUUAAUCUCUGCAGAGUCUCCUACCUGGCCCCAUUUUGAAAGUUUUAGAGGCUUUAUUUCAUCAUUGACCCAACUAGUUACUGCAAGGUCUACAAAGACUAAACAUUAUUCAGCUAUGGUUUGUUUGACUUUAUCAGUAUAUUUAAGAGUUACACUAUGAAAGCACAAUGAGAACCUGUCAGGCUUGUAAUUAUCUGUGGACUAUGCCCCAAACACUUGGUUAUGUGUGGAAACCAUCACUGUUACUUACGUUAUCUUCAGCUCAGGUCUGAUCACAGCAGCAUGGAGAUAUCAAAGAUGUGCCGAGGAUUCUUAGGAAGCACAACAAAAGAGAAUACAUAGCAGCCUCACUAUUGAGAUGGGAUCAUCUUUAGCAACAGGGUUUGGGCACCCCAACAGCCUCUGUUUAUGAAGAUAAUCCCACUCCUUGCUACUCCAGUAUGUCAGUUUGCUACCAUGAAGGAAGAAGCUGUUUUGUGAUAAAGAAUUCAGCACACACAAAGGCAAGCAGAGCAAAAAGAUGAAGAGAGAAACAGCCAGAAGUCUUCUAACCAGACCCGAAGGCCAAGAUUCCAUAAUGUUAAGGAGGGAAAAAACUUAGGGAAUCCUAUCUUACCCACAAAAUGUUUGUGGUUUUGGAACAACUGUUUUUAUGAAAAAUUAGGAAGUGAUAGGAAAAAAAGGUGGAAGGAGUUAUCAAAGUUAAAAGGAUUCAUGAAAAUACUUCAUAUUAUACUUCCCUCUUAGUGACUAAUUCACAACAUGAACCCUGGGCUAAGGCUCUAAAAAGCCCUACUAUAAGGCAAACUAUCUGUUCAAGUCAGCAUUUCUCAAACCUUGAUCAUUAAAAAAAAAAUGGACUAAAAUUUUAAUUAUUAAUUUUGUUGUAAUUAAACUUACACAGUAACACUAUUGUGAUCUCCUAAACACAGUUUGGAAAGAAGAAAUGACAAGGCUAUAUGCUCUACAGGAACCAUUUCAUCAUUAGUCAACGAUUAACUCCCAGUACGCUAGAAAGCAGGGGUUGGCAAACCAUGGGACACGCGCCAGAUCCAGCCCAUUGCCCGUUUCUGGACAUCAAGUGUUCUCAAAACACAGCCAUGCUCAUUCCUUUAUGUUUUGUCUGUGGCUGCUUUCACACUACAAAGGCAGAGGUCGGCCCUGGAGAUGGAGACUGAAUGGCCUGCAAAACCUAAAAUAUUUAUAAUCUACCUAGCCCUUUAUGGAACAGUUUGCCAACUGUUGGCUUAGAAGAUGUUGCAAGAGUGAAAUCAAUCAUCUAUGUUGCCUCGCCCUUUGUUGUUGUCUUUUUACAGUGCUGCCAAGUGUUGCAGCAUCUUUCAAAAAAGUAUAAAAGACCAUCUAGGUUAUCUUUAUAUGAGCUUUCAAUGAACAUGGCCCAGAACUCUUAAUUUUCUGCUCAUAUUAGCAAAGAGAAAAAACUGACAUGAGAAGAUGUCUGACAAUUAUUGAAAGACUGAGAAGAUGAAUGCAAAGAGGCAGCAGCACUUUGGGAUCUACUGUGAUGAUAAAAUUGAUUUUUGAGAUGAGUUUCUUCGAUGAACUUCAUCAAACUCAGGAAACAGAGUAAAUGAUAUAUUUCUAGGAGUGGUGAGAAAGGAAAUAUGGUGUUUUUAUCUAGUCAAUCAUUCAGUAGGAAGAAUGUCAUCAUGCAAUAUUUUGUGACAAGAAUCUAGAUUGCCCUGUUUUGAUCAAAAGAGAUAAGGGCUUUUUAAAUGUUUAUGUUUGUGCACCAAGAUUUACUUAAAAUGAUUUCUAAGCAGACAAAAGGCACUUUGUAACCAAAGGUAAUUGCAGAAUUUUUUAAAUUCACAUUUAUCAUUGUAAUUGAUGUUUAUAAAUCUAAAAAGGAAAAUAUUGUAUCCUUAUGGAGCAGGGAACACCAUAUUCUACCAACAAAACUCUAAGCCAUCCAUGUUUUCAAAAGUAUUUCAUUUGAUGAUUCAAGUACAUGACAAACCAGCAAGAAUCAUAAACUAAAACCCAUAGAGAUGUAAAUAUUUACAUCUGGAAUCAGUAUCGGAUUCUGAUGGUGAAAGUGUAAGAAUAGAAUCAGAGUAAUUAUAGGCAAGAACUGAUUAAAGAUUAAAGAUGUAUCUGAAAUCUGGAAUUAGGAUUUACAGGAUGGAUAUAUCCAGGUCCACACAUGACAGUAGGUUAAGUUAGCUGCCUAUUUCAAGUAUAAAAGGAAAUAGAGAAAAAUUUCAGUUUGCUAUGUUUAAAUUCUUACUGAAUUUUCUAAUACAUUUUUUGUACUAUACCUUUAUUCCUACUUCUAAGAACUCUUCAUAAAAUGACUUCAGAAUAAAAAAUUUAAAAGGAUACACUGGACCCUGAUGAUGGUGAUGACUACUUUCCUGGUUAUAUAGAUUUGUACUGAUAGGUCUUUUACUUCAAGAAUGAUAAUACUUAGUAUUGGCUACAGAAUGGGGCAUAGUUAUAGUCUGUUAUUUAAGACAUACAACUAAUAUUUAGAUUUAAAUAUCUGAUUUCCAGACAAUCUCUAUAGGUCUUUUCUAACUGUAUUAAGGCAGGGACUGACAUACUAAUCUAUAAUUCCCAAAGGAUUCUAAUAUAUUAGAUGACACUAUGACCAAGAACACAACUUUACUUUCCAAGGUCCAGUAAAUCACUAAAUGACAAGAGGGAAGGCUUCGGGGCCUAUUCUCUACACACUUCUCAAGAGGAUUUAAAUGCUCCCCCACAUUUAAUUCAAUAAAUGUUUGUGGAGUA
Long non-coding RNA from Suricata suricatta (meerkat), 2828 nucleotides. RefSeq lists it as uncharacterized. The transcript is spliced from 7 exons. The record is from RefSeq and is a predicted model, not a curated record. Lineage: Eukaryota; Metazoa; Chordata; Mammalia; Carnivora; Herpestidae.